RNAcentral lists this ribosomal RNA (465 nucleotides) under uncultured bacterium. Its description in RNAcentral is "partial 16S ribosomal RNA". It matches the Rfam family "Bacterial small subunit ribosomal RNA", at positions 28 to 508 of the family's 1533-position model. The record is from RNAcentral.
GACGAACGCUGGCGGCGUGCUUAACACAUGCAAGUCGAACGGAAAGGCCCCUUUGGGGGUACUCGAGUGGCGAACGGGUGAGUAACACGUGAGUAACCUGCCCUUGACUUCGGGAUAACUUCAGGAAACUGGGGCUAAUACCGGAUAGGAAUCCUUGCUGCAUGGUGGGGGUUGGAAAGCUUCGGCGGUUUUGGAUGGACUCGCGGCUUAUCAGCUUGUUGGUGGGGUAGUGGCUUACCAAGGCUUUGACGGGUAGCCGGCCUGAGAGGGCGACCGGCCAAGGUGGGGCUGAGAGCGGGCCCGGCCCCCCGGGGGGGGCGGGAGGGGGGAAUAUGGAAAAAGGGGGGGAAGCUGGAGGCAGCAACGCCGGGGGGGGGAUGGCGGCCUUGGGGUUGAAACCCGUUUUCAGCAGGGGAGAAGCUUGGGGGGGCGGUACCUGAAAAAGAAGCACGGGCAAACAAGGGC